RNAcentral lists this ribosomal RNA (281 nucleotides) under Phocaeicola plebeius DSM 17135. RNAcentral's name for it is "partial 16S ribosomal RNA". It matches the Rfam family "Bacterial small subunit ribosomal RNA", at positions 496 to 776 of the family's 1533-position model. The record is from RNAcentral. Lineage: Bacteria; Pseudomonadati; Bacteroidota; Bacteroidia; Bacteroidales; Bacteroidaceae.
UAUGGUUGUGUGCCAGCAGCCGCGGUAAUACGGAGGAUGCGAGCGUUAUCCGGAUUUAUUGGGUUUAAAGGGAGCGCAGACGGGUCGUUAAGUCAGCUGUGAAAGUUUGGGGCUCAACCUUAAAAUUGCAGUUGAUACUGGCGUCCUUGAGUGCGGUUGAGGUGUGCGGAAUUCGUGGUGUAGCGGUGAAAUGCUUAGAUAUCACGAAGAACUCCGAUUGCGAAGGCAGCUCACUGGAGCGCAACUGACGCUGAAGCUCGAAAGUGCGGGUAUCGAACAGG